GGGGGCGAUCUGGUUUCGACGUGGGCUAGAAAGCCAGGGCUGCAUGCCGGGGUUCUGUCCCGCCCGUAAAACGGACAGGCUGCAAUUUAACUGCAGACGAUUUUGAUUACGCUCUUGCUGCCUAGAGCAGCUUGCGUCUUACUGAUCCGCGCCCGUAGGGUUGGCUAAGGCGACACAAAUCGGGAUAAGGCUCGCAUCGUGCCGAAGGGUGCGCGCCCGAAACCUUACUUUGGCUGGUCUGAGGGCAUCCUGCUCGUAGGAGGCCCGAGGAUGAGAUUAAACUACGAGCUACGCAUUGUAGAUGCCUUGAGUGGACUACUCUCGGACGCGGGUUCGAUUCCCGCCGCCUCCAUCC
This 355-nucleotide transfer-messenger RNA is filed under the name Desulfurellaceae bacterium. It matches the Rfam family "transfer-messenger RNA". From Rfam's summary of the family: Bacterial tmRNA, also known as 10Sa RNA or SsrA, is named for its dual tRNA and mRNA-like properties. Its role is to liberate the mRNA from a stalled ribosome. RNAcentral also lists the same sequence under 1 other name. Lineage: Bacteria; Pseudomonadati; Campylobacterota; Desulfurellia; Desulfurellales; Desulfurellaceae. The record is from RNAcentral.